Molecule: ribosomal RNA, 800 nt
Filed under: uncultured bacterium
Lineage: Bacteria
Description: bacterial SSU rRNA
Rfam family: Bacterial small subunit ribosomal RNA
Source: RNAcentral
AGAGUUUGCUUUUGGCUCAGGAUGAACGCUGGCGGCGUGCUUAACACAUGCAAGUCGAGCGAAGCGAUCAAGAUGAAGUUUUCGGAUGGAUUCUCGAUUGACUGAGCGGCGGACGGGUGAGUAACGCGUGGGUAACCUGCCUCAUACAGGGGGAUAACAGUUAGAAAUGACUGCUAAUACCGCAUAAGCGCACAGUGCCGCAUGGUACGGUGUGAAAAACUCCGGUGGUAUGAGAUGGACCCGCGUCUGAUUAGCUGGUUGGUGGGGUAACGGCCUACCAAGGCGACGAUCAGUAGCCGACCUGAGAGGGUGACCGGCCACAUUGGGACUGAGACACGGCCCAAACUCCUACGGGAGGCAGCAGUGGGGAAUAUUGCACAAUGGGGGAAACCCUGAUGCAGCAACGCCGCGUGAGUGAAGAAGUAUUUCGGUAUGUAAAGCUCUAUCAGCAGGGAAGAAAAUGACGGUACCUGACUAAGAAGCCCCGGCUAACUACGUGCCAGCAGCCGCGGUAAUACGUAGGGGGCAAGCGUUAUCCGGAUUUACUGGGUGUAAAGGGAGCGUAGACGGCGAGACAAGUCUGAAGUGAAAGCCCGGGGCUCAACCCCGCGGACUGCUUUGGAAACUGCCUUGCUGGAGUGUCGGAGAGGUAAGUGGAAUUCCUAGUGUAGCGGUGAAAUGCGUAGAUAUUAGGAGGAACACCAGUGGCGAAGGCGGCUUACUGGACGAUAACUGACGUUGAGGCUCGAAAGCGUGGGGAGCAAACAGGGUUAGAUACCCUGGUAGUCCACGCCGUAAAC